RNAcentral lists this ribosomal RNA (506 nucleotides) under uncultured Methanomicrobiales archaeon. RNAcentral's name for it is "bacterial SSU rRNA". It matches the Rfam family "Archaeal small subunit ribosomal RNA", at positions 263 to 773 of the family's 1478-position model. Lineage: Archaea; Methanobacteriati; Methanobacteriota; Methanomicrobia; Methanomicrobiales. The record is from RNAcentral.
AUCGGUACGGGUUGUGGGAGCAAGAGCCCGGAGAUGGAUUCUGAGACACGAAUCCAGGCCCUACGGGGCGCAGCAGGCGCGAAAACUUUACCAUGCGGGCAACCGUGAUAAGGAAACCCCGAGUGCCAGCACAGGCUGGCUGUCCACCAGUGUAAAUAACUGGUGAAGAAAGGGCCGGGCAAGACCGGUGCCAGCCGCCGCGGUAAUACCGGCGGCUCGAGUGGUGGCCGCUAUUACUGGGCUUAAAGGGUCCGUAGCUGGAUAUACAAGUCCCUUGAGAAAUCCGCCGGCUUAACCGGUGGGCGUUCAGGGGAAACUGUAUUUCUAGGGACCGGGAGAGGUGAGAGGUACUGCCGGGGUAGGAGUGAAAUCCUGUAAUCCCGGUGGGACCACCUAUGGCGAAGGCAUCUCACCAGAACGGGUCCGACAGUGAGGGACGAAAGCUGGGGGAGCAAACCGGAUUAGAUACCCGGGUAGUCCCAGCUGUAAACGAUGCGCGUUAGGUG